RNAcentral lists this ribosomal RNA (473 nucleotides) under uncultured organism. RNAcentral's name for it is "partial 16S ribosomal RNA". It matches the Rfam family "Bacterial small subunit ribosomal RNA", at positions 331 to 796 of the family's 1533-position model. The record is from RNAcentral.
GUACACUCCUGCGGGAGGCAGCAGUAGGGAAUCUUCGGCAAUGGGGGCAACCCUGACCGAGCAACGCCGCGUGAGUGAAGAAGGUUUUCGGAUCGUAAAGCUCUGUUGUAAGUCAAGAACGAGUGUGAGAGUGGAAAGUUCACACUGUGACGGUAGCUUACCAGAAAGGGACGGCUAACUACGUGCCAGCAGCCGCGGUAAUACGUAGGUCCCGAGCGUUGUCCGGAUUUAUUGGGCGUAAAGCGAGCGCAGGCGGUUUGAUAAGUCUGAAGUUAAAGGCUGUGGCUCAACCAUAGUUCGCUUUGGAAACUGUCAAACUUGAGUGCAGAAGGGGAGAGUGGAAUUCCAUGUGUAGCGGUGAAAUGCGUAGAUAUAUGGAGGAACACCGGUGGCGAAAGCGGCUCUCUGGUCUGUAACUGACGCUGAGGCUCGAAAGCGUGGGGAGCGAACAGGAUUAGAAACCCUUGUAGUCC